Molecule: ribosomal RNA, 460 nt
Filed under: uncultured bacterium
Lineage: Bacteria
Description: partial 16S ribosomal RNA
Rfam family: Bacterial small subunit ribosomal RNA
Source: RNAcentral
CCUACGGGAGGCUGCAGUGAGGAAUAUUGGUCAAUGGACGAGAGUCUGAACCAGCCAAGUAGCGUGAAGGAUGACUGCCCUAUGGGUUGUAAACUUCUUUUAUAUGGGAAUAAAAUGUUCCACGUGUGGGAUUUUGUAUGUACCAUAUGAAUAAGGAUCGGCUAACUCCGUGCCAGCAGCCGCGGUAAUACGGAGGAUCCGAGCGUUAUCCGGAUUUAUUGGGGUUAAAGGGAGCGUAGGUGGAUUGUUAAGUCAGUUGUGAAAGUUUGCGGCUCAACCGUAAAAUUGCAGUUGAAACUGGCAGUCUUGAGUACAGUAGAGGUGGGCGGAAUGCGUGGUGUAGCGGUGAAAUGUUUAGAUAUCACGAAGAACUCCGAUUGCGAAGGCAGUUCACUGGACUGCAACUGACACUGAGGCUCGAAAGUGUGGGUAUCAAACAGGAUUAGAUACCCUUGUAGUC